GCGGGUAGCUCAGAUGGUAGAAUAGCCGACACGUCAUCGGAAAGUUCUGGGUUCAAAUCUCAGUCCGAGUCA
RNAcentral lists this transfer RNA (72 nucleotides) under Cotesia glomerata. RNAcentral describes it as "tRNA-Thr". The record is from RNAcentral. Lineage: Eukaryota; Metazoa; Arthropoda; Insecta; Hymenoptera; Braconidae.